ACUGAGCGGCGGACGGGUGAGUAACGCGUGGGUAACCUGCCUCGUACAGGGGGAUAACAGUUGGAAACGGCUGCUAAUACCGCAUAAGACCACAGCACCGCAUGGUGCGGGGGUAAAAACUCCGGUGGUAUGAGAUGGACCCGCGUCUGAUUAGCUAGUUGGUAAGGUAACGGCUUACCAAGGCGACGAUCAGUAGCCGACCUGAGAGGGUGACCGGCCACAUUGGGACUGAGACACGGCCCAA
RNAcentral lists this ribosomal RNA (244 nucleotides) under uncultured bacterium. RNAcentral describes it as "partial 16S ribosomal RNA". It matches the Rfam family "Bacterial small subunit ribosomal RNA", at positions 90 to 334 of the family's 1533-position model. The record is from RNAcentral.